GUGUGGCAGCACAUACACUAAAAUUGGAAUGAUACAGAGAAGAUUAGCGUGGUCCCUGCACAAGGAUGACACACAAAUUUGUGAAGCGUUCCAUAUUUUU
This 100-nucleotide small nuclear RNA is filed under the name Myotis brandtii (Brandt's bat). Lineage: Eukaryota; Metazoa; Chordata; Mammalia; Chiroptera; Vespertilionidae. The record is from RNAcentral.